GGAGAGUUGCCUGAGAGGCCGAAAGGAACAGUUUGCUAAACUGUCGUACUGGUAACGGUACCGAGGGUUCGAAUCCCUCACUCUCCG
This 87-nucleotide transfer RNA is filed under the name Arcicella aurantiaca. Its description in RNAcentral is "Arcicella sp. TNR-18 tRNA". It matches the Rfam family "tRNA". Rfam says of the family: Transfer RNA (tRNA) molecules are approximately 80 nucleotides in length. Their secondary structure includes four short double-helical elements and three loops (D, anti-codon, and T loops). RNAcentral also lists the same sequence under 1 other name. The record is from Rfam by way of RNAcentral. Lineage: Bacteria; Pseudomonadati; Bacteroidota; Cytophagia; Cytophagales; Flectobacillaceae.